This 925-nucleotide small RNA is filed under the name Pongo abelii (Sumatran orangutan). RNAcentral's name for it is "processed transcript". The record is from RNAcentral. Lineage: Eukaryota; Metazoa; Chordata; Mammalia; Primates; Hominidae.
UGCAGGGCAGGGCAGGAGUGUGUUUGAUGUGUCCUGGGAACAGCCCUGAGGCCGUCAUGUGGCCGGAGUGCUGCAGGUGUCAAGGAAACUGUAGGAGAUGUCUCCUGAGUGUGAUGGGAUAUAACCAGAUUUCCAGAAGGAACUGACAUGAUCUGACUUAAAAAGAGCUGUGCCAGGCCUGAAGCUUAAGAUUGCUGGGAAAUCUUUACCCACAGAGAAGUUUGCCAUCCGGAAGUCCCGGCGCUACCUCUCCUCCAACCCUAUCUCGCUGCCAGUGCCUGCUCUGGAAAUGAUGUACAUCUGGAACGGCUACGCUGUGAUUGGGAAGCAGCCUAAACUCACGGAUGGGAUACUUGAGAUUAUCAUUAAGGCUGAAGAGAUGCUGGAGAAAGGCCCAGAGAACGAGUACUCAGUGGAUGACGAGUGCUUGGUGAAAUUGUUGAAAGGCCUGUGUCUGAAAUACCUGGGCCGUGUCCAGGAGGCCGAGAAGAAUUUUAGGAGCAUCUGUGCCAAUGAAAAGAAGAUUAAAUAUGACCACUACUUGAUCCCAAACGCCCUGCUGGAGCUGGCCCUGCUGCUUAUGGAGCAAGGCAGAAACGAAGAGGCCAUCAAACUCUUGGAAUCUGCCAAACAAAACUACAAGAAUUACUCCAUGGAGUCAAGGACACACUUUCGAAUCCAGGCAGCCACACUCCAAGCCAAGUCUUCCCUAGAGAACAGCAGCAGAUCCAUGGUCUCAUCAGUGUCCUUGUAGCUUUGUGCAGCAGUUCCGGGCUGGAAGACAGAGACAGCUGGACAGAGCUCCUGAAAACAUUUCAAAAUAUCCCCUCCCCCUGCCCUGCCCUGCCUUUGGGGCCCACCGGCGCUCCAGUUGGAUGGCACAACAUGGUGUAUCCGUGCAGAAGCUGAGCUGGCAUUUUCACCA